This 245-nucleotide ribosomal RNA is filed under the name uncultured bacterium. Its description in RNAcentral is "partial small subunit ribosomal RNA". It matches the Rfam family "Bacterial small subunit ribosomal RNA", at positions 26 to 285 of the family's 1533-position model. The record is from RNAcentral.
AGAAUCAACGCUGGCGGCGUGCCUAACACAUGCAAGUCGAACGAGAAAGUGGAGCAAUCCAUGAGUAAAGUGGCGCACGGGUGAGUAACACGUGACUAACCUACCCUUGAGUGGGGAAUAACUGAGGGAAACCUUAGCUAAUACCGCAUAACACCUACGGGUCAAAGGAGCAAUUCGCUUAAGGAGGGGGUCGCGGCAGAUUAGUUAGUUGGCGGGGUAAUGGCCCACCAAGACAGUGAUCUGUA